This 425-nucleotide ribosomal RNA is filed under the name bacterium. RNAcentral's name for it is "partial 16S ribosomal RNA". It matches the Rfam family "Bacterial small subunit ribosomal RNA", at positions 355 to 776 of the family's 1533-position model. The record is from RNAcentral.
UGGGGAAUAUUGCACAAUGGGCGCAAGCCUGAUGCAGCGACGCCGCGUGAGGGAUGGAGGCCUUCGGGUUGUAAACCUCUUUCGCCAGUGAAGCAGGCCAUCUUCUUUGUGGGGUGGUUGACGGUAGCUGGAUAAGAAGCGCCGGCUAACUACGUGCCAGCAGCCGCGGUAAUACGUAGGGCGCGAGCGUUGUCCGGAAUUAUUGGGCGUAAAGAGCUCGUAGGCGGCUGGUCGCGUCUGUCGUGAAAUCCCCUGGCUUAACUGGGGGCUCGCGGUGGGUACGGGCCGGCUUGAGUGCGGUAGGGGAGACUGGAAUUCCUGGUGUAGCGGUGGAAUGCGCAGAUAUCAGGAGGAACACCGGUGGCGAAGGCGGGUCUCUGGGCCGUUACUGACGCUGAGGAGCGAAAGCGUGGGGAGCGAACAGG